ACAGCGGUUGCGAAACAGGUGCGAAACUUGCUUACGUGUACCACCACAUCAGCCAAUAUUUUAAUAUUAAAAAAAAAACAAAUGACAAAAGUCGAAAAAGUGGAGGGAAAUCAAAUAAGAAGUACGUUGCAGAGGUACUCGCGCGACCUGAACCUAUUUUUGCCGAGCUCUGAUUCUCUUCCGUCCGUGGUCGCAACCGUGGGUUGUUGUGGUCACCGUUAGUCACCCAUUCCGAUCUGCAGAUCUGAGCAGCAGCCACUGUCGUCGACGUGGGUUGGAAGCAGGUUUCCAGAUUUGAUGCAGUUUUGCUUCUUGCACUGCCACGGUUUGAGUAUUUCUUCUCUUCUUUUGGACUUUAUUUUCUCUUGUUCUUGUUGGCAAAUAUUAUAGCUGGAAAUAUGCACUAUUUUCUCACUUCAAUAAUUAAAAUUUGGUAAAAAACUUGAAGAGAUACAAAAUCUCUUGUAACUAGCCGUGGUGUUCCCACAUUUUAUGAUUUAGGAAUGUGAUAGAUAAAAACAGCUGCUUUCUGUUUGAUUCUUGUUUUCUUCUCUGCUUACUGUUGCUAAUUUAUCAAAGUCCUCUUAGCAAACACGAUUUGACAAGAAAAGCUUCCAUUAAUUAAUCGAUGGUUUAUACAUAUAUGAGCUACACUUGAACAGAGUAGUCUUCUGGUCGAGACUUUGUUGUACAUAAUCACUAACAAGUGGAUUAGUCCAAUUCCAUUCAUAACAUUGAGGGUACAGGAGCUGAAAUAUAAUAUAUAUAUAUAUACACAAUUUCUAACGGUACAAGCUAAAAUUACUUGAGAUUGGCUAAAUGGAACACCCAAAAAGGAAACAGUGAAAAUGUCUAAAAUUGCUUCUAAAGCAUUUGCAAGACAGUAGUUGAAUAUAUGAUAAAAGAAGAGGAAAGAAUGAUAAAAAGAAGACAAGAUAUUGUGAAUCUUUUUAUUAAAAUGCCAAAGUGAAAGUGAAAUGAGAGGAAAUGAAAGGUUCGUUUUGAAUAAGAAUUAAAGAAUUUCAAAAAAAUGAUUUUCAACCCUUAAUCCAUUUUUUUUUAAAAAAAAAAAGCAAUUUACUUUGAGUUAUGAUAUAUAUUUAUAUUUAUAUAAGUAUAUAUUUGAGUUAUGAUUUAUUGCUGUGUUUUUUACGAGUAUUUAUCAUCAAGCUAUUCCAAAAAGCAUAUCAGACGCUGACAUUAGUAGAACCUAGCCCCGAGAAACAUUAAUUCAAACUCAAGAAAGUAUGUAAUUUGGGUUGGAUGGAUCACAAUUGUUGCAUGUUGAGUUUGAUGGAUCACAAUCACGGAAUUAUGGAAACUAAUGCUAUCAUUCUGGGGGUUACAAGCAGUUUUGAGGACUUGUAUUUCCAAAGUCUCGUACAGCUGGGAGUUAUAAGCAGUUUUGAGGAUCAAAAUAUGCAUAAAAACAGUCCAAAGAAUUAUGGCUAUGUAUAUGACCUGUAUUCUGAUGUAUGUAGAAUUAUGGCAGUCUUAGAAUUUGAUUUUAGGUUCAUAUAGCGUGAAGAAACAUGUCCAGGACACUGUAAAUGAUUACAUGGGGAAAGUGUUUUUGGCUUUGAAGUAUCUGACUAUCCAAAAUGUGAUGGUUAUGUGCAUUUUUCUUUUGGCUGGGAGUUACAAGCAGUUUUGAGGAUCAAAAUAUGAAUAAAAACAGUCCAAAGAAUUAUAGCUAUGUAUAUGACCUCAUAGUCCUAAUUCUGAUGUAUGUAGAAUUAUGGUAGUCUUAGAAUUUGACUUUAGGUUCAUAUAGCGUGAAGAAACAUGUCCAGGACACCGUAAAUGAUUACAUGGGGAAAGUGUUUUUGGCUUUGAAGUAUGUGACUCUCCAAAAUGUAAUGGUUAUGUGCAUUUUUCUUUUGGCUGGGAGUUCCAAGCAGUUUUGAGAUCAAAAUGUGUAUAAAAACAGUCCAAAGAAUUAUGGCUAUGUAUAUGACCUAUAUUCUGAUGUAUGUAGAA
Long non-coding RNA from Carya illinoinensis, 1980 nucleotides. RefSeq lists it as uncharacterized. Lineage: Eukaryota; Viridiplantae; Streptophyta; Magnoliopsida; Fagales; Juglandaceae. The transcript is spliced from 3 exons. The record is from RefSeq and is a predicted model, not a curated record.